CCUCCUAUCCCUUUGUCUGCCCGGGGGCUUCCAGGGGGCUGCACCCCUGCAACCCAGUGAGAGCGAGGGAUUUCUCCUCAUGUCCCCUGGUUCCUCUAACCUAAACUUCCUGCAGGGCUUCAGGGAUUUUAACACAAUGCACUGUGAGGCACCGAGUGGCAUGCAGCAAGGAUGGCAAACACACAUGCUGCAGUUACCUUGUAGAAGUGGUAUGCAGUCAAGAUUUUAACAUCCAGAAGGAGUCUGAACAACAACAGCAGGGAGUGCCCCGGCAGCAACUGGGAUGGCAAUCACCCAGCAGCACAGCUACUAGGAAACCAAAUAUAUUAACUCUCCAAUGCACUAAGCGGCGGAGACAGCUAUUCUCCUCAGCCAACUGGCAGUAAAAGUGGAAAGGAAAAAUUCCACUUAAAUUCUCCAAGCCACACUCCCAGUGCGCUGGUAUUCUUCCCGCAUGCCCUAGCAGACCAUGUGCUGCAGAGCACUGUGCAAGAGCCCACCCUUCCAGCUCUGUGCGAAGGCUGGCCGGAACAGACUCACAAAUAGCACCGGGAAUGCCAUGGACGGCAUCCAGUUCCUUGAGGAAACUCUGUGGUAUUACUUUAAACACAUCAUUUUGCAGGGAAAGCUGUGUGCUGCCUAGGUGUUCUCACCCACACACCCCACCCACAAAUAUAGGCUUCUGUCUAACCAUAAAUAGCAUUUUCAAUACACCCAUAACUCUGUCAAGUUGACCAAAAACAUAGCGAAGAUGUCAAGAAGGACUACGGAGGGAAUGGAACAAGUCCCAGAUAAACAAGUGAAUAAGUAAGCCAAGACUACCAAGAGAAAACAAGUUUAUAUACAAUGCCUUAAUCUGCACACUAGAACAGGUUGAUCAGUGGUCUCCAGUUUUUUAUGCUUGGUGCCACACUGUGUAUGCAAGCCAUGACAAGACUCUGAGGAAUCAGGGAAGCUGGAGUCUGGCUGGCAUAUGAAGUCAUUCCUGAAGUGCCACUGCAUGUGACAUGAGGGAUCGUUCCAACAUCUUUGCUUGCCUUCAGGACUUUUUUCUAACAGGUGCAGCAGAUAAACUUCUCAUACAGCCUUCCUUGCGUGUAUGAGACCAAACUACCACUGGUCUGGAGUGCCAGAUGACGGAGGAAGGUGGGUUCGCUCACACUGCAAGGACUCGCAGCAUUCUUGUGAAUGAGUGGCCAGGACCUGCUCUUCUGCAGAAUAAAAUAAUGAACAUCUGAUUUACUGUCACUGUGGGACUGGGAGGACAAAAGGCUUGGGCUUCUCAGCAGGUCUGUCCUGGUACAUGAGUUCUACAUCAUCCCCUGGGACAAGCACCAUCCUGAAUCACAAUGCAAAAUGCUGUAGCUGGGACUGGAAAUUUGCUGUAGCUUUGGACUGCUUUAUGUGUCCCAAAUGUGCCUACAGUGAUAUGAAUGAUUAAAACAGCUCCAGCUCAGACCACAUUCCUGAAGGGCAGAGGCACAAAGGCUGCCAAGGCAGGUUGGUUGGGGUGGUGGGAGUCCUGUUGCAGGUUCUGGCCUCAGGUGGGCAGCAGGGACCCAGUACCAACCUUCAGGAACUGUCGACCAUCUCCUUCUCCCCACUUCCCGGUCCUCAUGAGGGGCAGAUGUCCUCUUGGUCUCUGAGAGCCACCAAGUCAAAUGGGACUGUAGAGAGCAACCUUAGGUAAUGAAGCAUGGAAAUGAUGUACAGUUUCAUCUGUUUAAAACCUUCAGGUAAAAGGGACAAGGAUGUAACUCUGAAGGACAGAUAACAGCAUUCCUCAACAGGUCCUGCAGUUACUUUAAAGAAUGGUUUAUCAGGUCUUCAAUUUCUGUUAGCUGCUGGAGUUAUAUAUAGCUUUAGAAAAAUCCGCAAAGCACUGACAAGGAUUUUGUUACUUGUUUUAUUGACAAGGACACCCCAAAAAAAGUAUUUUAAUUGGAAAGAGAAGAUGGUGGUGAAGAUUUAUUAGUCUAGAUUUCCCCUUAAAUAUUACUUGUGCCAGAAGCAGAGGAGGAAGGAAAACUGCUUACAUUUUCUAGAUAGGAAUAAUAAUCUUAACUCCAGGAGAAAUUCAGAGAGAAGGGUUUGGGGGCUCAGCAGACUAAAAGGCACUUUAAUCCCAACCUCAGCAAAUCUUGGAUGUGAGAAGCAGUUUUCAUUGUGUGCACAUUGUCUGGUAUUUUACAGACUUAGGGGUUAAUUUUCCCCUGUCCUUCCCAAGAACCUUCUGAGUUAGAAUAAUGGCUUGUUAUUUGGGCAGAGAAGCAUUCCUGAAAAGUGUUUUCUUUGCCCUUACUCAUGAAUAACUGAUGGAAAUGAACAGCUGGCAAAUUAAGUCACCAUGGUGCUUUAAAAUAAAUAAAUGAAUAAAUGAUGCCUUCAUCGUCAAGGUUAAGAUCUGUUAGAGAAAAAGUUUUUUCUCUCCACCCGUAUAUAGCAACCUUGGAUCAAUCUUCUUCAGUGAUUUUUAUCCUUUGGGACUCAUCUUCACUGAAAACAAAAACAAAAACAAACAAAACAAAACAACAACAAAACAAACAAACUUUCGUUAAUGUGCCAGAUACUGUGCAACGUUUUGACAUAAGGCUAUUGUAUGUGUAUUCCUUUUAGCUCUGACAGUAUUUAGUGCUGGUGGUAUCUUUUUGCAGUUGUUUUCAGUAGAUCUGCUUUUGAUGGACCACAAAUGAACAAUGAGCACUGAACUCACAGCCCAAAGGUAAGGUUAAAAACAUACCACCUUUUUUGAAAAUUCUUUUUCUAAAUACAGCUGAAAUUCAAUAAAUGUCUCUUCAUUUCGUAUUAUUGAGAACUGUUACAGAGGAUACAAUCAUCCAAUAAUAAUGAUAAUUAUCUUGUUGAGCCACCAAAUAGCAUUUUAGUAGGUCUUAUUUAUAAUAGAGUGUAGAUCUGAGGCAAGCUGUAUUGUGACAAAGGAUUUAACCCUUUGAAGUGUCUUGUUUCCUUCUUCCCAAAAUAACCAUGGAACUUGAAUGGUCCCAAUUUCACUGCUAUUAAUGACAGGUCAGAUUUGGAAAAAUUCUGAAGGUUGUUGUUGUUUUUAACCCUUGCUCUUAUCACAGCUUUAUACUUCCCUUGAUGUAAACUUGAGAUUUAGUCCUUCUACUGCAAAAUAAGACAUCAUGGUAAAGAAAGAGGAAAAGGAAGAAAGAAAGAAAAAAAUGUUUCCUGAACUCUUUGUGGUAUUCCCAGAGGACAUCUUGGCAUCAACUGGAAAGCUUCACAAGCUGUCCGUGAACAUCAGAGAGUAAAGGCUCAUUUGGUCUGUUGCUUUGGUCAGUCAAUCUGCUCACACUUCAUCAGGAGUGUCAGGGGAUCCUGACAAAAUGAUAACGAUGCUAUGCACCAGGAAGAGGAGAACAUAAAUAAGCUACCUAAUUCCAUUUCUUUUAGCAUUUCUUUUGUAUCCAUAUGCUGGAAUCAUAUCACACCAGCCUAGCCUUUGUACUUAGAGAGUUCCUCUGAAUUGGAUUAUGUAAUAUAUUGAAAGCCGUAUUUCUUGUAGCACCUUUGGGUUUUGUGCAUUUGUGUGCAUUGUUGCCCUCUGGCUGUGUUUUUGUAUAUGCAGAAAACAAUUAAAAUCUACUUCUCUCAAUCA
Molecule: non-coding RNA, 3622 nt
Organism: Anas platyrhynchos (mallard)
Lineage: Eukaryota; Metazoa; Chordata; Aves; Anseriformes; Anatidae
Source: RefSeq, a predicted model, not a curated record